ACACAACUUACUCAGACGGUAAAGCAUCUGUCUGCAAGACAGGAGACCCGGGUUCGAUCCCUGGGUUGGGAA
RNAcentral lists this transfer RNA (72 nucleotides) under Ovis aries (sheep). It matches the Rfam family "tRNA". From Rfam's summary of the family: Transfer RNA (tRNA) molecules are approximately 80 nucleotides in length. Their secondary structure includes four short double-helical elements and three loops (D, anti-codon, and T loops). The record is from Rfam by way of RNAcentral. Lineage: Eukaryota; Metazoa; Chordata; Mammalia; Artiodactyla; Bovidae.